This is a long non-coding RNA of Trachymyrmex septentrionalis, 686 nucleotides long. RefSeq lists it as uncharacterized. The record is from RefSeq and is a predicted model, not a curated record. NCBI's taxonomy places the organism in Eukaryota, Metazoa, Arthropoda, Insecta, Hymenoptera, Formicidae. The transcript is spliced from 3 exons.
GAGCAGAAAAACAAUCCUGGUGGUUCACAACAAUCCUAGACGUUAAGUAAAGGGUAGUUGUUGUAAUUUAAAAAUGGGGAGCGAGGCUUUGAUAUGACAGAAAAAAAUUCUACAUCCAAUGAGUUAGUAUACAACAGUAAAUUAUUGAAUAUUAUAAUGGAAAAAGUAACAAAAGGAAAGCACAAACACCUAAACCCAGAAGUUGGGAAAGACGGGACUCUCACAGAAUGCAAGAGGUUGUUCAAAAAAGGGGCUAGUCCUGAGGUAUUAACUGAGUAUUGAAAGAAGAAAUCAAACAGUCAAAAGAACUAGAGAAAAUAAAGAAAGAGAAGAUAGAACAAGUAAUUUCAGAAGCUAUUAACAAGGGCAGCAAAAAAGAUCAUCCUGAUAACGUUGAUCAAAAUGAAACUGGUCGUAGAGAGAGUAUGGAGAGUCAAGACAGUGGAAUUGAAAGCGGCAACAGUAGUGAAGCUGAAGAUGAUCAUGACGCUAGUAAGAAGCAUUCAAUUGAAUUGCAUAAAAUCCCCAAAUAUUUUUGCACUUAAAAUGAGAUUGAUACAUAUUUCACCUUGAAAAGAGAGAAAGCGAAAAUGUCGAGUGCCAAAAGUGCAAGCAACGCGAACAGAGGUCUGUGGCUAAACUACUACUAGUGUACACUUUUGGAACUUAAAGUGAGAUAGAUAUAC